RNAcentral lists this ribosomal RNA (116 nucleotides) under Escherichia coli. RNAcentral also lists the same sequence under 2 other names. The record is from RNAcentral. Lineage: Bacteria; Pseudomonadati; Pseudomonadota; Gammaproteobacteria; Enterobacterales; Enterobacteriaceae.
CCUGGCGGCCGUAGCGCGGUGGUCCCACCUGACCCCAUGCCGAACUCAGAAGUGAAACGCCGUAGCGCCGAUGGUAGUGUGGGGUCUACCCAUGCGAGAGUAGGGAACUGCCAGGC